This 19100-nucleotide long non-coding RNA is filed under the name Linum usitatissimum (flax). Its description in RNAcentral is "long non-coding RNA (LUSI_LNC005248)". Lineage: Eukaryota; Viridiplantae; Streptophyta; Magnoliopsida; Malpighiales; Linaceae. The record is from RNAcentral.
AAUUUUAUUGUAUAAAUUUUCGGGAUCAACAAUCGGACCAUGCAAGCUAGAAAUACCUUUUCUUGGAUAAAAGAAGAUAUUACUCGUCCCAUCUCCGUAUCGCUCAUGGUAUAUAUAAUAACUAGAGCAUCCAUUUCAAAUGCGUAUCCCAUUUUUGCACAGCAAAGUUAUGAAAAUCCCCGCGAAGCGACCGGUCGUAUUGUGUGUGCCAAUUGUCAUUUAGCUAAUAAACCCGUGGUUAUUGAGGUGCCACAAGCGGUACUUCCUGAUACUGUGUUUGAAGCAGUUGUUCGAAUUCCUUAUGAUAUGCAAGUGAAACAAGUUCUUGCUAAUGGUAAAAAGGGAGCUUUGAAUGUCGGAGCUGUUCUUAUUUUACCCGAAGGAUUUGAAUUAGCCCCCCCCGAGCGUAUUUCGCCAGAGAUGAAAGAAAAGAUAGGUAAUCUAUCUUUUCAGAGUUAUCGUCCCAAUAAAAAAAAUAUUCUUGUGAUAGGCCCUGUUCCUGGUCAGAAGUAUAGUGAAAUCACCUUUCCGAUUCUUUCUCCGGACCCCACUAUUAACAAGGAUGUUCUUUAUUUUUAAACUCUCCUUCGGGUGUGAUCAAAUUUUUGCAUUGUUAUCGAGACUCAUUCCGUAUGAAGGAAACAGAAGGUAAAUUUGCAUUUCUAAUAAUAAAUUUUUUGCUUUAAUUAUUAGUAUAUUUUUUUUAAAAUAUCUUUAUGAUUGCCCUAAUUGCAAACUAAAGAUCACUAUUAAUUUUUUUACAUUCCACCAUCCAAUUUUCCAUCUUUCGCAUAAAAGGCACAUAAAACUUGUCACCUUUGAAAAUUCAAUCAUCCAUAUUUUCCACCACUUCCAUUCAACUCCUAAUCUUUCCCAUUUCUCAAACCAAAAUAAAAUUUCACAAACAUAAAAAUAAUAAAAAUCUGGUGCUAAAUUAUUUAAUAUAAAUUUAAAUACUAAAAUUCUAAAAAUAAAAAGAUUUAAAGAAGAUGAGAGGAUUAUUUUGGGCUUUCAUAAGGAAAUGCUGCCAAAGGUUCAAAGGGAUUUAAGUAGUCCAAGUGACUCCCCUACUUUCUUGAGAACUACAAUGAAAAUUUUGGUGCUUACAUCAAUGAGACGUUUCUAAGUAAAGUACUUGAUCAACGUUUUUAAGCGUUAUCAAAAUAAUCCGACUAAUGAAUUAAGCAGAGUCGAAUCUCCCAAGGGUCUCUUUAAAUAUCUUACUCAAAGUUAUAAAUAGUACUAAUCGAAAUAUCAAUGAAUGUGGUUUAGGUGCCAUGGCGAUUAAUCAAUCAUAAAAGAAAAUGAAAAUUUGCUUUAAUGUAAACAGGAUUGCAAGAGUGCACGAUGCAAGACUGCACGAUAUAAUGUUUAGCCAAUGAGAGAUGAAACUGCUUAGACGUCGAAUCCCCCUAGGUAAUUCUAAUUCACAUAUGACAGACAAAUUCCACGAUUUACACGAGGAUAGACACAUUACACAGUUGCAAUUCUUCUAUAAUCAAAUCACACCCUUACGAGACCACUAAUUUGGUACCUAUCUAGUAUUUUAGGCCGUUCUUUCGAGACAAAGAUCUAAAAUCCGCUAGGUGAUUUACCAAUUUAGAAUGGCUCACCACGACAAACUAGUUCAUUCGCUCCCAGAUGAGGGUUAAAGUUUAACCUAGUUAUUUGAUUUUGAUGUUCUAGAUAUGCAAACUCUCACAAGUCUAAGACAAAUCUAAUAGAUCUUCAUUCAAGUUUAUCAGGUAAGAACAAGUGGAAAACGAAAUCAAAUACGCAAUAAAAUUCAUCUAACUCACUUAAAUUGACAAAUGUAUCAUAUCAUUCGUUCAUAAGAAUUAACCUAUGGUUCAUCUAAUCUAAGCAAGAGUAGUUUAGCUACUCAUAAUCUCGAGGGAAAAAUCGAGAUCAGAAGAGGAAGACAUUGAAUCUAGGUUUACACAAAGAAAUAUGAAAAACUAAUUUCGCCGAUCUUCCCGAGAACUUGAUUCACCGAUUGAUUACUUUCCCGAUUCCGAGCUCCUUGAAGUUGUUGUUUUGUUGCUCUCAAAUCUCUCAAUAAUAAUCUCAAUUUUGUCUGGGAAAAUCUAUCUGAGAAUGGGAUAGAAUUGGGCUUUUAUAGAGGCGAUUCCUUAGGACUAGCAGACACCAAAAGUGCGCCGCACACUUUUGGGUUUUCUAAGGCACAUUUUUGGUCUAAAUGUCAAGGAUCGGAACUUCACAUAACAACCAAACAUGCGCGUAACCAACCAAAACUGCGUCGCACACUUAUCGUAUGGUUAAGGCGCACUUUCGGUAUAAAGCCAGACUUGGUGAUUUUUUCAUUCUUUGAUGCAUCCAGCUUCUCCUUGCACAUCAUUACAACUACGAAUAAUGCCCCGAUAUCGUUGUGUUCCUGAAGUUGAUCAGAAACACUACAAAACAACAUCAAAUGGACCCCGAACGGGCCUAAGACACUAAAUCGAGGUAAAAGUUAGAAAUGCAUGAAAUAUCCUAAACUUCUACCCAACACUGUACAAAUAUUCAUGAAAUAUUGCUUAAAUGAGGACGAUGAACACGACAAAUCAAGUGUCAUCAGUACUCCAUAACCUUCCCGCUCAACUUUUUUAACACAUAAACACUCUUUGUGUCUGUCUCUCUCUCUCUCCUUUUAAAACUUCCAAAACUAAAGCAAAACGAAUUCAUUCUCUCUUCUCCCCUCUCUCCACUCCAUCUUCCAAACUCCUAUUUGGUCAAAUGAAUGAUGCCACAUAUCACUCCACAAUUUGCUAACCUUCUUCUUGAAGACGUUGCAAUUGCACCUACGGUUCCCGGUAGUACGUAUUCUGAGGACGAGUACUCCGACAAAGAUCAUCUAAGAAUUUCCACUAAAGAUACCUUCACCAUGGGUUAAGAGAAGACAAUUGGUGAUUAUGCGAAACCAAGUCUCUCUAACGUGGGGUCUUCCAUCACCCGACCUCGUGUUGAAGCCAAAAAUUUUAAAUUGUGACCCGCUAUGAUCAACAUGGUCCAGCAAACAGUGUAAUUAUUAUUGAAAAAGGAAGAUAAUCCCCGUAACCAUAUCAAAGACUUCCUUGAAAUCAAUAACAAUUUACAAGUCCAACAGGUGCGCCCAGAUUCCAUUCGCCUCUGGUUUUCCCUUUCUCUCUUAAACGAGUUUGUCCUCAAACAGUGGGUAGUUUUACCACCCGGGACGGUCUCAUCGAAGCCUUUCUGAAAGAAUAUUUUUCUCCAUGGAAGCGUGAUGAUAUCAAAGAGAGAAUUAUCAAUGUCAUGCAACGUGAUAAUUAAAUUUUUUUAUUAAGCAUGGAUUUGAUUCCAAGCUCUCCUCCUCUCAUGCACUCAUCACAGGUUUUGAUGACCCCAACCAAGCGUCGAUCAAGAAAGCAUGAUCAACCAGACUGUUGGUGGUGAUAUUUGUAGUCCUACUCUGACUCGUGCUCUUGAUCUCUUCCAAUAGUAUCUAUCAAAACUCAAAGUUGGGCUAGAUGAUGUGGUAACCAAUAUAGUACCCUGCCUACUACUUCAUCCUAUGCCAUUAGUCAUGAAACCCUUUGGACCGCUCUUGUUCCCAUUCUCUCUCAGGUGCAUCCUCUUUCUUAACAAGUGAGAAAACUGACCAUCGAGACCCUACAUAAACCUACAUCAACAAUUUGUGUCAAUGAUGCAUGCGAGGACGAAGGACAUGAUUAUGCUGACUGUUACUCUUACAAUACUUCUCCCGACAAAAAUAAGUUGACUUUGUGGGUGGUGAUUACCCGUAAAUUGCAAAAUCAAGGAAACUCUAGGCCUUUCCAAUACUCUUACCAAGUCAACCGUCUUACCCAAUUCUCGGGUCUGGCACACCAGGAAAACAUUCAUGCUCUUUCCAUAACAAUGAAUUUCAAUUGAACAAUCUUGCCAUAAUGCUGAGUGAGAGACUGCAAGGCUCUCGCCCGAGCAACACUGAAAACAAUCCUAGGCAAGAGGAAUAAAAUACAAUCUUUGUUACUAUUGAAAGAUUUGACACUUCCGAAUCUUGUGAAGCUGUCACCCGCAAAAGUAGAAUCACCACUAAGGAUCCUCCAAUUACUAAGUCCACAAAUGCCACCAACAUAAAUGGAAAUCCUGUUGUCGCACAAGUCCACUCGGACAUCUUGCGGAAUCUUGAGAGAUGUAGUUGUGCUAGUUGGACCUUAUGUCUUUCUGGUUGACGUUGUUAUCAUUGAGACCAAUAUAUUAUAUGUCUCCCUCAUUCUUGGCUGUCCAUUCUUAAAAAAUUCUUGUGCUAUCAUCGAUGUGCACGGUGGCAAGCUUACUUUUCGAGUCGGCCAAGGAAAAGCCAUAUUUUGUCUUUUUGACGGGAUGCAAUAUGUCGAUGUUUAGGAUAACCCAAACUAUUUUGAUGACUUCGCUGAAGUUGGAUUAGUAUUCUUCCUAUCUAGUGGCCUCUGCUAAGACCCACUUGAGUGGUGCCUCUAUGCAUGUUUUUGGGAUGCGUUUGACAAGGAAUAACAACUUGAGCAGGUUUCCAUGUUGGAACCUGAAGGACAGGAGAUUGACUGUACUCCCGAGCCUCCGGUAAAGGUACCAAGGAUGGAACCCACUACCUGAACACCUCCAGUAUGCUUUUCUGAUGGAUGACUUGAAGACACUUGUCAUCAUCAAUACCUCCCUUAGUCCGGAACAAAAGGAAUGUCAUAUCACUCUUUUGAAAAAUAUAUAAUGUUUGAGUCAUUUCUCCAUCCUUUUGUACGCACAAAAUUCUGAUGGAAGAGGAAUACAAGCCAGUUGUGAAUCCAAACAUGAAUGCAAUGGUAAAAAAGGAGGUGAUGAAAUUGCUUAACGAUGCAUCUAUCCCAUCUCUAAAAGCCCAUGGUUUAGGCUUGUGCAAGUAGUGCCAAAGAAAGGGGGCAUGGCAUUGGUCUUAAAUGAUAAUAGCCAAUUAAUUCCUACUUGAACCAUUAGUGGUUAAAGAGUCUGUAUAGACUAUCGCCGGCUGAAAGAUGCCACCGUGAAGGACUAGUUUCCUCUCCCUUUCAUUGAUCAAAUACUUGAUCGCCUAUCUGGUCAUUCUUAUUACUACUUCCUAGACGAGAGUUUCGAUUACUUAUAAAUACCCAUUGAACCGAAAGAUCAAGAAAAGGCCACCUUCACUUGUCCCUAUUGUAUCUUCGCGUAUCUUAGAAUACCAUUUGGUAUGUGCAAUGCACCGAUGACUUUUCAAAGGUGUAUGAUGGCCAUUUUUUAUGAAUUGGUGGAGGAUGUGGUUGAAGUCGUUAUAGACAUCUUUUCCGUCUAUCUAGAUUCAUUCUCCCACCACCUUAAGAACAUGGAAAAAGUGCUCAUCUGUUGUCAAGAAACACAGUUGGCUCUUAGUUGCGAGAAGAGUAAUUUUAUGGUUCAAGAGGGCAUUUCUUGGCCAUAAAAUCUCCUGACAUGGGAUAAAGGUCGAUCAAGCGAAGAUCAAGACCAUCUCUCAUCUACAUCCCCCCACUUAUGUCAAAACCAUUCGGAGUUUCCUUAGUCACGCUAGAUUCUACCGAUGUUUCAUAAAGGACAUUUGAAACAUAACUCUUCCCUUAACAAAGCAUUUUUAAAAGGAUGUUGAGUUUCAGUUUUUUGAAAAAUACCUUUUGCUUUUAAGUUCUUGAAGGAGAAGCUAAAAAUGCUCCCAUCAUUGUGGCUCUUGAUUGAACACUCCUUUUCAAACUAAUGUGUGAUGCUAGCGAUUUCAGGCAACAAAAGGAAAAAUGUUUCCACCCUAUCUAGUAUGUAAGUAAGACGCUCAAUGAUGUGCAACAUAACUACACCACCACUAAGAAGGAACGGUUGGCUAUUAUUUUCAAAUUUCAUAAGUUCCAAUGAUACCUCAUACUAUCUCACAUGGUAGUCUUCACUGGUUACCAAGCACUGAGGUGUCUUUUUGUAAAACCCAAUGCGAAGCCAUAAUUAAUCUAGUGGGUCUUGCUGCUGCAAGAAUUUGACAUUGAGAUUUGUGAUAAGAAGGGUGUAGAAAAUGUCACAGCAUACCAUUUAUCUAGACUCAAAGGUCCAGAAGCAUCUCCCUCGACUGGGAUUUAGAUCAAUGAUUCGUUUCCUAAACAACAUUUUUUAGGGUAGUUGCUCAAGAAUUGGAAAGUCCUUCGUUUGAAAUAUUUGCCAACUAUUUGGCUACCGGUUAACUUCGUAAGGAUAUUUCAUGGAAAGAUAAGUGGAAGUUCUUUGACGAUCUUAAGCACUAUUUUGGUAUGACCCUUUUCUCUUCCACAUAUGGCCCGAUGGAGUCAUUCGUCAUUGUGUCACAAUUUCUUAGGCACACAACAUAAUCUGAUACUGCCAUUCAUGACUAACCAACGGCCACCACAAUUGUAACCAAACGACAAGAAAGGUUAUUGUGAAACCCGCCCCUAGACGACCCGGUCGAAUCGCCAUGCAACGACUCGCAAGUGCGACUAAAUCAACAUAAACAUAGAUACAUACAUAAUCAGAAAGCUAACUCAUGAAACUCCUCAUAAAUCAAGAAAACGACAACGUACAAAUCAGAUCAGCAAUGGCUCAACAUUAAUACCCAAAAUAACAUAAAACCAUCACGAAACAAAGGAGACAAACAUCCAGAGGUAAGGUAUUUGAAAAACAUAUUGAAAAUCCUCAAAAAUAAAAAAGGGUAAAGGGUCCUCCAAGGUACCUCUCUCUACGACUUUAAGAGCCACUUAGUUAAGGUAUCAGGCCUACUCGUAAGUUCCUCUUAGAAGGCAUUGACUUUUGAGGUUCCACCAUCGUACAUGCAAAGAAGAAUGGGAUGAGGUUAGUGAUAAGCACUGAGUGGAUAGUAAGACUCGCUUAGAACUGAGACUGACAUCUAAUAAUGUGACCCUGGUCCUAUAAGUAUCUACCUAGAAUCAACCACCCCUAACUAUAUGUGGAUAGCCUCAUGGUGGAUUAUACCAUGAAACCACCCAUGAAUACUAUAUGAGCAGCAUAUACAUGGAUGCUCUACACGUCCUGCCUGAAACAGAAAUAUCAACUGAAGGCUUGCGCAAUCCCGAGGUGGGUGACCGAUGCAUCAUAGUCAAGAACUAGCCUAGGAGGCAUAUCCUGUAUUGUACUGCCAGGAACUGUGGAUCACACGCCACAGUUGAUAAGUUAAGAAGUUAUGCUCGAUACAUGCUACAUAAUAUGUACUGUACAUCACAAGAUUUUGUACAACUUCAGAGCCCUGCUCUAUAUCAUGAAUUGAUAAUAUAUACAAUAGAUCACACGCUAGUGUAAAGCCUAAGAGUCUUUCUCUAUAUCACAUCACACCAUCUGUAUAGUAAAUCACACGUUACUGUACACAUUGAAAGCCCUGCUCUAUAUCACAUGAGAAAUCCAAUCAUUGGAUUCGUGAGCAUGCUAUUACAGUUCUACGCAUAUAAGCAGAAUGCAAUCCUAAUCCCCCACCUCUGAUUAGCUUCCUGGUAGAUUCUGAACCGUACCUACCUUUGUCAAGCUCAAGCCUCCUGUCCUGAAUGACCUGAAGAUAUCAAUCGUUGGAUUGAAAUCCCAAAACCCCAAAUCCAAAAACUGCCAGGAUUUUCUUAUGUGAGUUUCAAUCAAAAAGAUUAAGAGAGAAGAAGAAGAGUGGUACCUUCCGAUGGUUCUCCCAGCCUCUCUAACCCUCUCUCAAUGAUUUGGGAUCGACCAGCUCUAUCUUCUCCCCUUAAUUGGUAUUCUCCACCCCUUGAGAGAGAGCAUCGUUCGUCAGACAAUUUUAGGUAUUUGUUUCUGUAAAUUUUGAGUUGCCGGUCUCAGAUCUGGUUUUAUUACUAGUCCACCACUUUCGUGGCGGACUUACCACCAUGCCCAUGACUGCUUGACAACCAUGCUCGUGAUCUAAUGAUGGUCACAACUGUGAUGAGUCAAGCUCAUGACUGGCUGCUAAUCACGGCCAUGGUUGACCUAGCAACCACUCUUGUGAGAGGCUCAUGAUCACGCCUGUGAUCGUCCACUCUUCAGCCCAAAACCCAAUAGACUCAGACCCAAAAAACGGUUGAACAGUUGAAUCAAAAUUGGGGUGUUACAGUUCUAUAGUCUGUAUUUUUAUAGCCUUUGAUCUUUAAAGAUAAUGACCUAUUCACAAAGACCUUUGACGCGUUUCAACGCGCCGACUAUAUCUCACUGCGUAAUGAAAUGUCUUAGACGGUUGGAAAAUUGCUCCAACGUUUUUUCACUUGGUUUGGAGCACAUCAAGCUAUCAUCAGCGAUCGAGGAACUCACUUCCAGGGGAAGUUUGAUCAUGUGUGUUGCCGCUUUGGUGUCACUCAUUGUCUGUCCACUAAUUACCACCCAAAGACUAGUAGUCAAGCAGAGGUGACGAACCAAUAACUCAAGCAGGCAUUGGAGAAAACCGUGACCCAAUCUUGCACGGAUUGGUAAAAAAUGUUGGACAAUGCUCUUUGGGCAUAUCAAAGGGAUUUUAAAACUCCUAUCAUCCCUACACCUUACUGUCUCAUCUACGGAAAGGUAUUCCAUAUUCCUGUUGAGUUAGAGCAAGGUAGUUUAGGACUUGAAGUCUCUAAACCAUAACACAAAUUAGGUUGAACGACCAUACUCCAAGCAUAUCAUUCAUGUCAUCAAAUAUGUUGAACCGUAUAAUCUUAGGAGUAAUCAUGGAAUAAUCAUAUCUCCAAUGCAAAAUAACUAGCUACACAUGGUCUCCAAAGAGGAAGGGGAGAAACAGGGAAAACUUAGUCAAACCCAAUGGGUCAAUAGGGGAUUAACUAGCUCCGAACUUCACUUUGAUCUUUCAAUCUUCAAUCCAAUGCUCCUAGCUUCAUUGACCUUUAAUUUGAUCUUUUAUUGUGUCUUCUAGGGUUCCAAUGACAGUGGGAGAAGAGGGAAAAACUCACCCCAAGUCAAAUGGAUCAAAAUGGCCCGUUUGAGAAAACAUGAGCGCAACAUUGAUUCCAAGCGAAACUAGGUACCAAUAUCGGUCAUAUAUGUCGAAACGAGUCAAAAGAUAGUCAAGGUGGGUACGAUUAUCACCACAUUAUGGGGUGACACCAAAUUACCCCACACGUGAACAUUUCUCGUCCUCAAACAAUCAUGUUAAUCACAUUCUAAUAGGAAAAUAUGUGGGAUAGGAAAAACAAGGCCCCGCACUUCAAGCCUACUUUACGAUGUCAAAGGUGCAAGUGAAUCACCAAACCACAAAAUUAUGUACAAGACACUGAAUUCCUUAUACUAGUAAAAGAUGGACUUGUGCAUAUUGUACAAAUGACCUGACACCUAACCGCCAGAGUGUAUCAAACAUCUCCCUAAACACUUAUGUCAUUAGGGUAAUAGUGAAAGAAACUACAUUGACGGUCGGUCCUGGUCGGGUUUGCCCGUCUUGAGGGAAGGGGUGCUUUUCAAAAUAUUGUGAUAAAUCAUUAAAACACAAGGUACCCCCUCUCUUAUUUUGGUCUCACUUGCUUGAUUAUUGUCUUUAGGACUUUGUGGAGAUCUUCUUCUCUUUUUCUUUUCUUUUUGAUAUUUUUUUUUGUAUGGGUUGCUUUUUCCCAAUAGGGAUAAUUAUGACUCUAUCCAUCCAUUCUUGGAAAUAACCAUUCUCUGGCCCAUGACCAAUGCCUUGAAAGGGUUAGGAAGAUGGUGGACCCUAAGGGUUGCCCUGCGUGUUUAAGUUGUAACCAAACCCCUAUGAGAUUUGUUGGACUCAUUGGUCUCUUUAAGCGACCUCAUUCUUAAAAUCGACCCAUCUGUUUUGUCUUUUUAUCACCAAUAGGAAAACUCGUUUAAGAGGAUACAACAUACACCACAACAGAAGUUGGCAAUCCAUAUGUAUCAUUUGUAUGAGUCCCUAGUGUACUAGGUUUAGGAAAAUGGGAAGUGGUUCACAAAUGAAAUCCUAAACACCGUACUCAUCCACAAGUAGUAUGGGAACAUAAUACUAAGCAUGAAUCCACUAAUAUCCACAAAAUCAAGUUCGAGAGUGACUUUUAAAGAGAAAACGAGAACAAGUAUACAAAUAUGCACACGAGUAACCCACAAGAUGGAAGAACAAAGAAACCAUGGCAAGCAAUACCCCAACCCACAUCUAAACAUCACAUUGUUCUCAAUGGGACCAAACAAUAAGGAGAAUAAGGAAUAUGUUACAUCCCGAUCCUAGCUAACAAAAUUAUGUUAGGGAAUUCCUAAACUAUCCCAUAGAAAGUCUAGUAUAAAAGAAAUAUGUUAUGAGAAUAUUAGUACUCUUAUGUGAAUUAUUGUAUUAAUCCUUGCUGUGUUUAGUUGCAUCUAAUUUAUGCACUAAGGUUUGCUUGAUUCAGAAUUAAUUAGACUCAGUAUUACAUUUGAAUUAUGUUACGAUAUGUUAGCAGUUAUUAAUGAGUGUAUUGCUUAGUUUCUUAUGUCAUGUCUAAUGUUGUGAUAAUUAGAAGUAAUUAUUAACUUAAGUUUCCAAUAUAAGAUGUGAUAAAUUGUUGCUUGAUGUGCAUAUCACACCCAUAGGAAAAACCUAUCAAGAAUGUGCGAUAGUAAUUGCAAUUGUGGGAUUCACGUUAUUAUUAAAUAAGUAUGAAACAUGUUAUGUGACCAUAUGCCAUGUGCAAGUGGCUCCUUGAUUUCAUGUUACUAUGCUAGGGUAGGAAAUGCGAUGACCGGUUAGCUCAUAAAUCUUUAGAAAUUAAUUUGAAUGGAAUAAAGAUGGUGACUAGUAAGAAUUUAAAGUCCCCAACCGAAAUUGGACCACAAAGUCAGUUGUAGCCUAGUGGUUAAGUGUUUGAGCCCUUAGUGAAGAGAUGGCGAGUUUGAUUUCGAAAUUUUUUUAGGCUAUAUUAAAUCGGAAAUUACGUAGAUAAUCAAAUCGAAACCUUAAUUACAUAAAAUGGCAAUUAUCACCACUUACAACAUGCAGUGCGUCAUAGGACACGCAGCGUGUCUUAGGUGGCCUCUAACAUCUAGUUUCUAAUGGCCGGGGGGGGGGGGGGGGAAUGUUAUGAAUAAAUUUCGCCACCCCGAUGAGUCAAAGGAUUUGUUCACCUACUUCGGAGAAGAAAUGAAGUACGAUUGCGGAUUUUGUGCACCGAGACUGAUGACGCUGAUGUUCGAGAAAUAGUUCAAUUGUCCUUUCUAUAAGUGUAGGUUUGAGAAGAAGUUGGAGGUGGUGUUGGCUGAUAACUCGGUGAGGCGUGAGAUGCGAGCUACAAUGGAGGCAAAGCUUGCUGAGAAGGAUGUUGAGAUUGAAGCUAUUCAUGCUGAGAUGGCGCAUGAUUGUUUCAAAUGGCAACGGGAGAGGAUAGACAUCAUACGGUCAAAGGAUAGGUUCAUCGAGGCAAUUAGUGACGACUUGAAGGAUGAAAAUACGAAGCUUAGGUUUAGGGUGGUGUAAUAUUUACAUACCUUUUAUUCAAUGUUGAAUGAAAGAAUUGAUCGUUUGUAAUAAAUUGGUUGUGUUUCGAAUUGUUUUAGUUAAUGAAACAAUUUUUAUCCUAACUGUCAAAAGCUGAGUUACUGAUAAUUUUCUGGUCAAAAGAUGCCAAAGCUGUUUGAAUCCUGCCGCAAGCAGUAUGUUUCGAUCAAAAGAUGCUAAAGUUGUCUGUAGUUUUUUAGCCAAAAGCUGUACAACCCGUGGUCAAAAGCUGGCACUGUUGCCUAAAGCUAUUACCAGCUGUAAAUGUGAUGGGGAAUCUUGUAGAUGAUUGGAAGUAAUAUGCUGGUUGAGGGAAUAUGUUGUGGCAUAUCCUGCUGUAAUAUUACCCUCUCCCGUCUAUUUCAACACAUACCUCCAUUGCUCACAACUCACAAAUUAUGAGCACCAAUUUGUAACUCAUUCUGCCUACUUUACUUCUCCUCUCUAUCCUUCUGAAUAGAAAAUGGUUGAGUUCGCCUUCAAUCUUCAAUGGGGGGGGGGGUGGGAAUCUCUUUUACCCGAAUAUCAGAGUUGAGUAUGCUGGUGGUCAUUCCCGGAGAGUGAACUUGAGUUCAGCCCCAACAUUCGCCUGAGCCAUUCCCGUUUUCUUCAAGAAAAUGAAGACCCCAUCGGAGGCCAUCCUCGGAACUGUGUACUAUCGCCAAACUAUGGUAGCCAGCGACACUAUUGCUGGUAUUGCCUCCGGCCGUGCACCGAUGAAGAGGCUUGAGGAGCCGUCGACUACAUGGUAAAUACCUUCCCUAUGUGCAAAAUUUGGAGUUGUAUUUGAGUUCAAAGGUCCAAUCGACAAAGUUUAAGGCUUAGUUGGUCAAUCCUCAACGACUGGGUACUUUGAACCCUCUGGUUCAUAGAACAUUGACGAGCUGUCACAGUGCGGCGUAUAACCCACCGAUGAUGCCGUGGAUGAAGACGAUGUUGACGAUGAGCCAGAGUACGAUCCGACUAACAACAAUGGGGAAGGGGAAGAUGACCAGGCCUCGAGGGAGGACAGCGACGGUACGCCGAUUGGCCUCUCCAUCCAGAGGGGGAAGAUGCUGAUGUUAUAAUCGGUGCGGGCGCUACAACAUCUUCUCGUGCCCUACUCCGUCUGAUCUGUACACAACGUUGGGGGACAAUAUGGACCAGGUAAUGACGGUAGACGACUAAGAGGGUGGCCCUGAUAUCUCGAAUUUCAACUCCACCCGUCAACAUUUUUACACCGACCAGCGGUUUACACAAAGAAGGAGGCAAGUCUUGCUGUUAAUCACUGUGCCUUUCAUAACAAUCGAGCUCUAAUGACGUCUUGUUCAAAGACUUGGGAGUUGAAGGUCAGAUGUUAUUCGUACGAAACAAACAACUACCCAUGGAGGUUACACGUCACUAGCAGCACAGACGACGGUUUCUGGACGGUUCGGUUGUGGAAUCCACAACACACAUGUGACGGAAGCGAGCACAACAUAGAAUCUACCAAACCGGAUGUGAACGUCAUUGCGGAUGCCGUGAUGCACCUAGUUUGGUCAAGGCCACACCUUUUUGGAUCCGUCUGAUCUAAGAUGUGAUUUCACAUCUUUUCCAACGUCAGAUGUCGAACAGAAAGGCGUGGUAUGGGAAUCAGAGAGCUAUGGAGAUGAUCUAUGGAAAUUGGGAGGAGUCUUACAACAAGCUUCAAUAUUUCUGUAACGAAGUGCAGAGUUGUAACCCUGGCACUCACGUCCAGUUCCGCUUUGAUGACUUAAUCGGUGGUGUCGUUGUUCGGAGGCAAUUUUUUCUGUAUUCUGGAUCUUCCGGCCGUGCAUUAAAGGGUUCCGAAAUUAUCUACCUAUCGUAGUUGUUGACAUCACCUUCCUCACCAGGAAAUAUUUUGACGGUCGCCGUAGCCAUCAUCGACAAAGAGAGCAUUGACACCUAGGCGUGGUUCCUCUAUUGCAUCCAAGAGCUAGUGACAGACAGGCAGAACGUAUGCGUCAUCUCAUAUCGUCAUGUCGGACUUAGAGCUGCAAUGGACCAAAUUGGUGGGGGCUGGGUCUGGAGAUAGUGCAGCCAACACUAUGAAAGCAACUACAAUAGCCAUGUGAAGAACCCCAACAUGAAGGCACGACUGAAGUCCAUAGGUAAAUUUCCCCUCACACAUGUUGCAAGAAAUACGCGGCAGACAUUCGUGCUAAUGAAUAUUGAACUGAGAGGUGUCAUGCGACUAUCCGUUUGGGCGAUAUGAAAAAUAAUAUCACGAUAAGUUUGGGUCAUCUCUUUCAUUAGAUGUUACCGCUUUCUUAGGAUUUAAUUUUGGGGGGAUGAUAAGCUUUGUACCCGAGCUUAGGUGAAACUUAGAAAAAUCAAAGGUAGUAUGCGCACUGCGGGUCAUAAAUCGACACAGUUUGUGAACCUUCUCUCUAGGGAACACCCCACCUUUACAUUAGUAUCAAUAGAAACAUGCCAAAGCCAACCCUAAGUCCUAGAGCCUCUCCCCCGCUAUAUCAGCAAAAUUGAACCUAGGUGAAUGUACUAACCCAAUGUGUACUAACCCUUGGCUGACUAACAUCCCACCCGAGAUUGCACGGAUACCACAUCCGAAAAUACGUGCAUCCAUCAUGAACAUCAUAUCAUCAAUUUCAAAACUAUUUUAUAAUGUGCGUCGGAUCCCAACUCACGCAUAAUACGAGGGUAGGAUUCAAGCGUACAUAAUGAAUGCACUUGGCGUUUACGCAUAUGCAUCAAAUCAUUUUACACAAAGGGCAUCUUGUUGUGUCGUGAGUAUCAUGAUUUAAAACCAGCAUAUAAUGUAAGCCAAGACUCGAGCCAUACACCUACUGUGUUGAGAAGGUCCAAGCGCACAUUCAUACAUGUGCUUUGCAAAUUGGUGACGCCAUUUUAAAAACUAUGCAUUUCAAAUGCCUUUGAAAAAGAGUUCAAAAACGAGGUUUGAGAAACUCGAGGUUCAUAGGGGAAAAGCUCACCGCAACCAUUCGUUCGAUGGCAUCCAUAUCAGAGCAUACCAUUAUAGCGCAUUCCAAGAAAGCUAAAUGACAGGAACCAUCAACAACGAGAUAUGCUCAGAUUUAGACUAGUUAAGGGACACAAAUGCGGAUCUACAAGUUCUAAUCAACGAAUUGCUUGAAGCACUCCCAUGUGGCUACGAUGAUUCAAGUUUAGAGCUCACAAACGGACAAAAAAAUUCAAGAAGCCUAUGGAGGGAGUCAAAGGACUCGACGCAUACGAAGCGACCAAGGCAUUUCGACAUCAUUUGGUACCAAUGAUGGUCAUGCAACCAAAGUUUGAAGUGCCUGAUUUCAAAAGAUUCGGAGGCAUCACUUGCCCUCAAAUCUACUUGGCCAGGUAGUACGACCAAAUGACAGGAUACAUGCAUGAUGAUAAGCUAAUGAUACAUUGCUUCCAAUAUAGCUUGGAUAUAGCAUCCCAAAGGUGGUACGCAGGCCUCGAAAGCUCGAAAAUCAAGACAUGGCAAGUCCUGGUCGAAGCUUUCAUAAGAAAUUACAAGCACAACCACGACUUAGCCCCAAACAGAGAGGACCUAAAGAAUAAAAAGAAGAAAGAUGGUGAGAGUUUCCGAGAGUGUGUCCAUAGAUGGAGGGACGUUGCCGCUGAAGUUCAACCACCACUAGCUGACAAGGAAAUGAUCUCGAUUCUCCUUGAGACCCUCCGAGCUCUGUUCGAGAAUAACAUACUCAGAAACAUCACUACCAAUUCCCUUGACUUGCAAAUUAUCUGAGAAAGCAUAGAGAAAGGCCACUUCUAAGGAUCAAAGCCCAUCCAAGCAAGAAAGUGCAUCCAUCACGAAAGAAGGAAGAGAUACGUGUUGCUCGUAAGGGCAGGAUGGGUGAACAUGUUUCCCGAGGAAAAGGAUCGCCCUGACAUCAACAAGGUCCCGAUGUCGAAUCAUCAAACUUGUGUGACCGCAGGGAAAGUAAUGACCGUGGGCUCACUUUUCGAAAUAAUAAAAGUACUUGGAUGUUUUGAGUUGAGCAUUUCCCCUUUGUGUGUUUGUAUUAAACUCUGAAUUUCAAAAUGGUGUUCUACGUGAAACACACUAAAUAAAAGUCAUUUUCUUUCUAGCAUUCCGUGUCAAAACCGCAUUCAUUUUUCCUCGCAUUCUUUUCUCCAUACGAACUUUGGCAAGAUAACUGAGACGGGUAGGAGGAAUAAUAAUUAUCAUGACUUCGAAAUUAACUUCGAUAAUCCGAUUUGUGAAACGAAAACCGGGGAUGAAGAGGAAAUUGGGGAAGAAGUACGGUUGGACACCGUUUGGAUCUUGGAAUAGGAGGAAAGGAGUCUACAAUCCUUCUACCACUUGUUCAAGACAACUAAUUUGGGUACAUACGAGAUUAAGAAAGAGGUUAAGAUAGGGGAUGAGCUAAGCCCAAUAGAACGGGAGGAGCUAAUUCAACUAUUGGGGGAAUAUCAGGACAUCUUCGCAUGGUCGUAUCAGGAUAUGUUGGGUUUAGACGGAAGUAUCAUCACACAUUGCUUACCUAUCAUGGAGGGGUAGAAACCCGUGAAACAUAAGCUUCGAAGGUCGAAAAUCAAGUGGCUUCUGAGGAUUAAAAAGGAAGUUAAGAAACAAUAUGCGGCCAGCUUUCUCCAAGUAACCGGUUACUCAGAAUGGGUGGCCAAUAUCGUACCAGUCCCUAAAAAGAAUCGAAAGGUGCGAAUGUGCGUUGAUUACCGGGACUUGAAUCGAGCAAGGCCGAAGGAUAGCUUUCCCCUACCCCACAUCGACGUGCUCGUCGAUAAUACGGUGAGCCAUCAAGUGUUCUCGUUCAUUGAUGGUUUCUCUGACUACAAUCUAAUGAAGAUAUAACUUGAGGACUGGGAGAAAACUUCGUUUACCACGCUCUGGGAACUUUUUGUUAUAUCGUGAUUCCAUUCGGAUUUACAAAUUUUGGGAAGCAUAUCAAAGGGUAGUGGUCACUCUUUUCACGAUAUGAUUCAUAAAGAAAUCGAAGGAUAUGUGGAUGACAUGAUCGCUAAGUCCAAAAGCUAGGAGGAUCACAAGGAUACCCUCUUGAAAUUAUUCAAAAGACUAAGGAAAUAUAAGCUUCGACUAAGUCCGGAAAAAUGCACCUUCGGAGUUAUGUCAGGAAAACUCCUCAGAUUCAUAGUAAGCGAGAGGGGCAUUGAGGUGGCUCCAAAUAAGGUCAAAGGCAUUGCCGAAAUGCCACCACCUCAGACACAAAAGCAAGUGCGUGGGUUUCGGGGCGGCUGAACUACAUUUAUCGGUUCAUUUCGCACCUAACCCCAACAUUUGAGCCCAUCUUCAAACUCCUCCGAAACAACCAACCAUAUAAGACCACUACUCUUGUACUUAACGGUCUUCAAAAAUUUGGUAGGAACUAUGCUAGCCCUAACUGACUAGUCAGGGAAAAAGGAACACACUAUUUACUACACUAGUUAGAAGUUCACCGAUUAUGAGUCUCUAUACACGGACCUCGAAAGGACGUGUGGAGCGUUGGUAUGGACAGCCAAGAGAUUAAGGCAUUACAUGUUAUACUACACGACACACCUCUUUUCAAAGGUCGAUCCCAUGAAACACAUCUUCGAGAAACCCGCUCUUACAGGUUGCCUAGCAAGGUGGCAGGUUCAGCUAGCCGAUUACGAUAUCCUGUACGGCCAAAAAAGUAAUGAAAGGAAAUCCGAUAGCUGACCACUUGGCGGAAUACCCAAUAUCUAACUUGGACUCUUUAGUCUCGGAGUUCCCUGACGAGAGUAUUUUGAUCAUGAACAAAACACAACCUUGGAUCAUGAAAUUUGACGGGGCAUCCAAUGCCCUCAGAUACAGUCUAGGUCCAAUGCCCUCUGAUACAGUAUAGGUGUGGUGUUCUUGUCCCCCAAUCGAAAAAUGUACCCCAUCACCGCCAAGUGGACGUUCUACUAUACUAACAACGUCGCCGAGUACGAAGCAUGUUCCCUUGGUAUCUGAUAAGCCAUAGAAAUGGGGAUUAAGAAACUCAAAGCCUACAGAGACUCUUUACUCGUUAUCUAUCAGUUGAGGGGAGAAUGGGAAAUGUAGGAUGAAAAGCUUAUACCCUACCAUAAACACAUCAAGGUAAUGAUGGAAAGCUUCUAUAGCAUUGAGUUAGAGCAUAUAUCGAGGACCGAUAACCAAAUCACGGAUGCCUUGACUACGCUAUCAUCUAUGCACAUGUUGGGAGACCAAGACAUUAUUCCCCAAAUUUAGAUCCAAAAGCAAGAGGACCCAUCCUAUGUAGCUAGUGUAGAAGAGGAGUCAGACGACAAACCAUGGUACCAUGACAUAAAACCUACUUCCAAAGCAAAGGAUACCCACCAUGGGCAUCAGAAAAUGACAAAAGGACUAUUCGGAGACUCGCUCUAGGGUUCUACAUUGAUGGAUCGACCCUCUAUAAAUGAAACCAUGAUCUUACCCUCCUUUGAUGUGUAGACGUUAAAGAAGCAAGGUAAAUUGUCGAGGAAGUUCACGAGGGUAUUUGUGGCACUCACUCCGGUGGACACGCCAUGGCCCAAAAGAUCCUAAGGACAAGAUACUAUUAGACUCGUAGGGAAUCGGACUACAUCACAUAUGUUCGCAAGUGUCACAAAUGCCAAAUUUACGCUGAUGAACUUCACGCGCCACCAACCUCCUUGAAUGCAAUGUCAUCGCCUUGGACGUUCACCGUCUAGGGCAUCACUGUAAUAUGAAUGAUUGAACAAAAAGCAUCGAACGAUCACCGAUUCAUCCUAGUCGCCAUCGACUAUUUUACCAAAUGAGUAGAAGCAGCCUCAUACGUCAGUAUAACCAGGAGUGUAUUAGUUAAGUUCAUUAAGAGGGAAUUCAUCUUCCGGUACGGACUUCAUAAGAGAAUCAUUACAGAUAAUGCCAAAAAUCUCAAUAAUAAGAUGGUGAGUUCAAGAUCAAACACCACAACUUGGUCCCUUAUAGGCCUAAAAUGAACAGGGUAGUCGAAGCCGCUAAUGAGAACAUAAAAAAGAUAGUGCAUAAAUGCUCAUCACAUACCGAGAUUGGCACGAGAUGUUACCAUUUUCAUUUCAUGGAUAUCGAACUUCCAUCAGGACCUCAACAGGGAUAACACCUUACCAGCUAGUCUACAGAAUGGAAGUCGUGCUCCCCGUGGAAGUAGAAAUCCCUUCACUCAAAGUAUUGAUGGAAGCAAAACUAGAUGAAGCAUAGUGGGUACUGGCUCGAUAUGACCAGCUGAACCUAAAUGAGGAAAAGGGGUUGGUUGCGGUCCAUCAUGGUCACUUGUAUCAAAGACGAUUAAUACAGGCAUUCGAAAGGAAAGUAAAGCCCAUAAAAUUCCGAGAGGGCGAAAUGGUAGUUAAGAGCAUACCCCUAAAAUAGGGACCCUCGAGGAAAAUGGACCCCCAAUUACGAAGGACCAUUUGUGGUUAAACGAGCAUUCUCUGGAUGCGCCCUUAUAUUAGUGAAUGGCGACGGAGAAGAAUUGUUGAAUCCCGUCAACUCCUAUAAAGUGAAGAAGUACUACGCUUAAGUAUGUUCCCCAAGGUUUCCAAAAAAGAUUAUCGAGUUAUGCUUUGAGGUUAAUGAUAAUUCUUAUUAUUUUGUCCCCGUGUUUGUGCCUUGUUAAACGUUCAAAAGCUGGAAUAGGAAACCAUUUGACAGUCUUUGACUAAGUAGAUGUAUAGGUUUCCCGUUCUAAAAUGAAUAGAGUCAAAAGAGUUUCUUUCAAAACCGAAGGGAAAUUCUUAUUUAGAAAUGCGCAACGACUUUUAAAAU